UAAAGGGUUGCCGUCCGCGUACUGUUAAUACCGAGACGGCAUGAAAUGCUAGUCCGCUCGCCGAGCGGGCGACACUGCCAAAUUGCGGGGACACCUUAAAGCCUUUGACACCAAGCCGUCGCCGAAAGGCGGCGGUGGCCGAGCUAACAGCCCUGGGUAUGGUAACAGUUCAAAGGAUGACCCGCCCAGCGAUGGGCGGCGAAAUAGGCGAUCCGCAGCCAAGUCCUACGGGCCCGUCCGCGGGCUACGGACGCUGUUCACAGGCCAAAUGGUAGUGGGUGGGACCGCCGCGUCCUGCUUAAGAUAUGGUCGGGCCCCCGGAGAGAUCCGGGGGGCAAUUCGCCGCUGCCCCCUCCACCGUUCCGUAGGUGAACCUGCGGAAGGAUCAUUC
RNAcentral lists this non-coding RNA (391 nucleotides) under Zeloasperisporium cliviae. Its description in RNAcentral is "partial 18S ribosomal RNA". The stretch from base 17 to 333 matches the Rfam family "Group I catalytic intron". From Rfam's summary of the family: Group I catalytic introns are large self-splicing ribozymes. They catalyse their own excision from mRNA, tRNA and rRNA precursors in a wide range of organisms. The record is from RNAcentral. Lineage: Eukaryota; Fungi; Ascomycota; Dothideomycetes.